UCGAACGAGUUCUCGUUGAUGAUCGGUGCUUGCACCGAGAUUCAACAUGGAAUGAGUGGCGGACGGGUGAGUAACACGUGGGUAACCUGCCCUUAAGUGGGGGAUAACAUUUGGAAACAGAUGCUAAUACCGCAUAGAUCCAAGAACCGCAUGGUUCUUGGCUGAAAGAUGGCGUAAGCUAUCGCUUUUGGAUGGACCCGCGGCGUAUUAGCUAGUUGGUGAGGUAAUGGCUCACCAAGGCGAUGAUACGUAGCCGAACUGAGAGGUUGAUCGGCCACAUUGGGACUGAGACACGGCCCAAACUCCUACGGGAGGCAGCAGUAGGGAAUCUUCCACAAUGGACGCAAGUCUGAUGGAGCAACGCCGCGUGAGUGAAGAAGGCUUUCGGGUCGUAAAACUCUGUUGUUGGAGAAGAAUGGUCGGCAGAGUAACUGUUGCCGGCGUGACGGUAUCCAACCAGAAAGCCACGGCUAACUACGUGCCAGCAGCCGCGGUAAUACGUAGGUGGCAAGCGUUAUCCGGAUUUAUUGGGCGU
This 535-nucleotide ribosomal RNA is filed under the name Lacticaseibacillus casei. RNAcentral describes it as "bacterial SSU rRNA". It matches the Rfam family "Bacterial small subunit ribosomal RNA", at positions 62 to 561 of the family's 1533-position model. Lineage: Bacteria; Bacillati; Bacillota; Bacilli; Lactobacillales; Lactobacillaceae. The record is from RNAcentral.